CGGGGUGUAGCACAGCGGUAGUGCGCCUGCUUUGGGAGUAGGAAGUCAUAGGUUCAAAUCCUAUCACCCCGA
Molecule: transfer RNA, 72 nt
Filed under: Burkholderiales bacterium
Lineage: Bacteria; Pseudomonadati; Pseudomonadota; Betaproteobacteria; Burkholderiales
Description: tRNA-Pro
Rfam family: tRNA
About the family: Transfer RNA (tRNA) molecules are approximately 80 nucleotides in length. Their secondary structure includes four short double-helical elements and three loops (D, anti-codon, and T loops). Further hydrogen bonds mediate the characteristic L-shaped molecular structure. tRNAs have two regions of fundamental functional importance: the anti-codon, which is responsible for specific mRNA codon recognition, and the 3' end, to which the tRNAs corresponding amino acid is attached (by aminoacyl-tRNA synthetases). tRNAs cope with the degeneracy of the genetic code in two manners: having more than one tRNA (with a specific anti-codon) for a particular amino acid; and 'wobble' base-pairing, i.e. permitting non-standard base-pairing at the 3rd anti-codon position.
Source: RNAcentral